UAUGGUCCAUGUUCAGCAAUGUUGUCCGGCCAGGCUGCAUCAGGCUCCGCAGGAAACGUUCCGUGCAAGUCCUACGACGUACGAAAGCCGAGAAAGGUCCUCCCUAAAUUAGGCCAGCUGGUACUUCCAUCUCUUCAAGGUAAAGGCAAGAAAUUCUCUGAGCGUAGCAUUUCCCAGUCAGCCAGGAUAUGCCCUGACAGCUACCUCAAAUCAUAAGGAAUAGAGUGGGGGGAAGAAGAUUGUUGUGACAUUCCAAGGAUAUAAUCCAGUGGUUCUCAACCUUAACUGCAGGUUGGAAUUUCUGGGAAGUUCAAAAAACUACAGAUACCUGAAUCCCACUCUCAAUGAUCCCCGGGUGAUUCUUUUCCUUAAUUAAAAAAAAAAAAUUUAAAAGAAGAUUUAGAUUACAUAAAAGUUCCAUCAAAAAUAUAGGGGAUUCCCAUAUACCCAUUCCCUCCCCCUCCCACACUUUCCCACAUUAACAUCUUUCAUUAUCAUGGUACUAAUUGGCUGAGAUAGGGAGUAAAGCCUUUUUUGGAAAAAUGUGCUCCUUUUUUUUUCUUUUGCUUAACCACAGAAAUUUAUGAACUCAUGAUUUCAGAGGCUGUAUCUUCUGGCUGCCAGCAAUCUUUGGAGUUCCUUGGUUUUUCCAUUAUGUGGCAAUGCACAUGGCAGCAUCUUCUUUCUCUUACAUGUUGAAUUCCAGCUUCUGGCUGCUCUCCAUGGCUUCCUCUUUCUGUGUCCAAUUUCCUUUGCUUAUAAGACUUCAGCCAUAUUGGAUGAAGGCCCGUGCUCAAGAACAUCUUCAAAGGUCCUAUUUACAAGCCCGCAGGGCCAGGGUUUAGAACCUGAACAUGCCUUUUGUGUGUGUUUUGGGGGGGGGGGGCCAUGAUUCAGUCCUCAAAAGCUGCCU
Molecule: long non-coding RNA, 913 nt
Filed under: Dasypus novemcinctus (nine-banded armadillo)
Lineage: Eukaryota; Metazoa; Chordata; Mammalia; Cingulata; Dasypodidae
Description: lncRNA (ENSDNOG00000050311.1)
Source: RNAcentral